UAAGGAAUAUUGGUCAAUGGGCGGAAGCCUGAACCAGCCAUGCCGCGUGCAGGAUGACGGCCCUCUGGGUUGUAAACUGCUUUUGUACGGGAAUAACCUCCAUCACGUGUGAUGGGCUGCAUGUACUGUACGAAUAAGGAUCGGCUAACUCCGUGCCAGCAGCCGCGGUAAUACGGAGGAUCCGAGCGUUAUCCGGAUUUAUUGGGUUUAAAGGGUGCGUAGGCGGCUAAAUAAGUCAGGGGUGAAAUACGGCAGCUCAACUGUCGCAGUGCCUUUGAUACUGUUUAGCUUGAAUAUGUUUGAAGAUGGCGGAAUGAGACAAGUAGCGGUGAAAUGCAUAGAUAUGUCUCAGAACUCCGAUUGCGAAGGCAGCUAUCUAAGUCAUUAUUGACGCUGAUGCACGAAAGCGUGGGUAUCAAACAGGAUUAGAUACCCUGGUAGUCCACGCCCUAAACGAUGAUAACUCGAUGUUAGCGAUACACAGUUAGCGUCUUAGCGAAAGCGUUAAGUUAUCCACCUGGGGAGUACGGCCGCAAGGUUG
RNAcentral lists this ribosomal RNA (541 nucleotides) under uncultured bacterium. RNAcentral's name for it is "bacterial SSU rRNA". It matches the Rfam family "Bacterial small subunit ribosomal RNA", at positions 355 to 896 of the family's 1533-position model. The record is from RNAcentral.